GCCACGUCCUGCGCGGCACGCCGGGAAGUGUAGUCCCCAUCGCCGCCGGCCAAUCUUCGCGCGGCACGGCGGGAAAGGUCUACAGAUCAUCUGUGCUAGGCAGUAGGUUGCUGAGAGACUGAAGAAAACACCUGAAGAUGGCACGUAAGACAUAAGACUUGUUGAGACUUCCUAACAGGAAUUCACAGGAAAAAAUAGGAUAGGUAGAUUGAGACUCACUAACAGAAGAGGGUCCAGUGGUGACAGGCUGGAUAGAAUAUUGCCUACAAGGUCCAGUGAUGAAGGCCUGAACAUGAGGCCAUCAGGAGAUCGAAUGGUGACGGGGUGGAGAAGGAAAUUGCUAGAAGGUACUCACAGUAUCCAGUGGUGGCCAGUUGGACUAUUGGACUCCCCUGUGAUCUGUUCUUCCCCAAGUUACUGCAGGGAGGAAGGUUUUAUAAGUUGAACUAUAUAAGCAGUAACAUCAUUACAUGGCUUUGUUCCAGUGUAUUACCGGCAUUCUAAGGAAAGUGGGAAGGUACAUUCUCUUUACAGAUAACUCUAGUUUGGCCUGUUCCCAGUGCCAUUUAGAUAAUACUCAUCCUGGCAAUGGUGUAGGCACACUUACAAUGUCACCUAGAGUUGGCAAGAGUCUUGAGAAGGCAAAGGGGCAAUGUCUUAUUUUUCCUUAGGGUUGCUACAGCUUCCCAGCUGCUAUAAAGUGAGCAGCUUCCACUACUAUGUGCCCCUGCCAUUGUCAUUGGACAGGGUCCAAGGAAGUCCCCAAAGUGGUGAGGGGAAACCUUGACUCCAUCCACCAUGGGACAGGUUUCAGGAUUGCUGGCUUCCAUCAGACACACACACACACACACACACACACACACACACAAAAUUCAGGAUGCAUCAGUAAGAGAUAUAAAGGGAUUUAUUAUGUAGAAUUUUAAAUAGACACUCAAAGAAAUAGAGUGGGUGGACGCUUAUUGGCUUAGCUGGGUAUAUUUAUGGGGAUUUGGGGGUGAAAAUCUGUAGAACUUGUGAAUUAUGAAAAGAGGGCAUUUGGUUUACAGAUGAAAGGUGACAGCUCUUUCUGCAGAGGAAAGGUGCCGGCCUAUUUGUAGGUGACAGCCAUCACAGGUGGUAGAGCUGUGGCCCAUCUGUAGGGAAAGGCCCAUUUGUAGGUAAAAGGAAAUGGCCAAGGCUUACUGUGUCUUUAAAGACCUUAGGAGUUUUUUUUUACUGGAUUGGUGUUCUGAACCUGCAGUUUUUAUUAAAAGUACAAUUUUUAAAUGAUAAUAUUUCUUGUCUCUGUUUUACCUAUCUUAUUUUUCCUAUCCUGCCUCAUCAUGAUGUAGUCUCGCUACAGGGCCCAAGGCAGUGGGGACAACCAACCAUGGACUAAAAGCUAUACAACCAUGAGCCAAAAUAAACCUUUCCUCUUUUUUAAAAUUGAUUGUCCCAAGUAUUUUGUCACAAGCCCUCACACUCACCAGUGCAUCUCCUUUACAAUAAAACUAAUCAUUUUAACAUAGUGCUUUCGGCGACUUCAUAAGCUAGUCUACUGAAUUAUCAAACGAGGGGCUUGUGGAACCCCCACGUUUAUAGCCAAUCAGUUAGAAGUACAGCUGGCCCCUGAAGCUUGGCUGGGUCUAAAGUGGGAGCCAUUGAGUAGAGGAUGUUGCUCUCAACCAGUAGGAUCUGAACUAAGUCUGAGUAUUUUAGUGUCAGAAUUGAAUUGCAGGACACCCAGCUGGUGUCAGAAUAAUACUUACACCUCUUUCAUUCUAAGAUGGGCACUGUCACAUUAUUAGUGAAAGCAGUUCUCUUUCUCUUAUAAACUAGACUGUGAAGAGAUUUUUUAUAAAAUUCCCUAAUCCCUGACUUAAAAAAACCUAAUUUAGUUAGGAAAGCUAUAGCCUGUAUAUGACUUUUCUCCUCAACCAGCAGCCGUUGUGUUUAAUGGUAAGAAACACUCAAGAAGGUUUUUAUAUUCUUAUUCACUUCCCACCCUUAUUCAUCUUGCUUCCUUACCCCAGAGUAUCUUCCCAGCCCCCCAUAAUGUCUAGAAUAUUAGUCACAUUGCAGUGUAGAUAUGUUCCAUUAGCCUUCCCUGACCCACCCUGGCUGGCUUGGUCCCCUUUGCCAUAUGCUAUGUGACAGUUUGUCCGUCCCACAUAACAAUUACCUUGCAGUAUUCUUGUUGCCACUUUCCAUGCCUUUUUCCACUCCCCUUGCCAAC
This is a long non-coding RNA of Heterocephalus glaber (naked mole-rat), 2215 nucleotides long. NCBI's taxonomy places the organism in Eukaryota, Metazoa, Chordata, Mammalia, Rodentia, Bathyergidae. The record is from Ensembl.